UCUUCGGAAUGAAGUAUUGGUGACUGAGCGGCGGACGGGUGAGUAACGCGUGGGUAACCUGCCUCAUACAGGGGGAUAACAGUUGGAAACGACUGCUAAUACCGCAUAAGCGCACAGUACCGCAUGGUACAGUGUGAAAAACUCCGGUGGUAUGAGAUGGACCCGCGUCUGAUUAGCUAGUUGGUGGGGUAACGGCCUACCAAGGCGACGAUCAGUAGCCGACCUGAGAGGGUGACCGGCCACAUUGGGACUGAGACACGGCCCAAACUCCUACGGGAGGCAGCAGUGGGGAAUAUUGCACAAUGGGGGAAACCCUGAUGCAGCGACGCCGCGUGAGCGAUGAAGUAUUUCGGUAUGUAAAGCUCUAUCAGCAGGGAAGAAAAUGACGGUACCUGACUAAGAAGCCCCGGCUAACUACGUGCCAGCAGCCGCGGUAAUACGUAGGGGGCAAGCGUUAUCCGGAUUUACUGGGUGUAAAGGGAGCGUAGACGGCAUGGCAAGCCAGAUGUGAAAGCCCGGGGCUCAACCCCGGGACUGCAUUUGGAACUGUCAGGCUAGAGUGUCGGAGAGGACAGCGGAAUUCCUAGUGUAGCGGUGAAAUGCGUA
Molecule: ribosomal RNA, 606 nt
Filed under: uncultured Lachnospiraceae bacterium
Lineage: Bacteria; Bacillati; Bacillota; Clostridia; Lachnospirales; Lachnospiraceae
Description: bacterial SSU rRNA
Rfam family: Bacterial small subunit ribosomal RNA
Source: RNAcentral